This is a small nuclear RNA of Ochotona princeps (American pika), 74 nucleotides long. NCBI's taxonomy places the organism in Eukaryota, Metazoa, Chordata, Mammalia, Lagomorpha, Ochotonidae. The record is from Ensembl.
GCUCGCUUCGGCAGCAUAUACUAAAAUUGGAACGAUUCCGAGAAGAUUAGCAUGGCCCCUGCGCAAGGAUGACA